RNAcentral lists this ribosomal RNA (433 nucleotides) under uncultured bacterium. RNAcentral describes it as "bacterial SSU rRNA". It matches the Rfam family "Bacterial small subunit ribosomal RNA", at positions 355 to 786 of the family's 1533-position model. The record is from RNAcentral.
UGAGGAAUAUUGGUCAAUGGUCGGGAGACUGAACCAGCCAAGCCGCGUGAGGGAUGAAGGUGCUAAGCAUUGUAAACCUCUUUUUGUCAGGGAACAAAGGCUCCACGAGUGGGUGUGUGAGUGUACCUGAAGAAAAAGCAUCGGCUAACUCCGUGCCAGCAGCCGCGGUAAUACGGAGGAUGCGAGCGUUAUCCGGAUUUAUUGGGUUUAAAGGGUGCGUAGGCGGCCUGUUAAGUCAGCGGUAAAAGCCCGGGGCUCAACCCCGGCGAGCCGUUGAAACUGGCUGGCUGGAGUUGGCGAGAGGUAUGCGGAAUGCGCGGUGUAGCGGUGAAAUGCUUAGAUAUCGCGCAGAACUCCGAUUGCGAAGGCAGCAUGCCGGCGCCACACUGACGCUGAGGCACGAAAGCGUGGGGAUCAAACAGGAUUAGAUACC